GGUCGUGGACACCUACGGGCCAAGAGCUUACCGACUAGAGACUCUAGAAGGGAAUGCCAUUCUCCGGACCUGGAAUGCUGACAAUCUAAAGUUGUACUACCAGUGAACUUUGUAUCCCCUUGUCCGGAAUAUCAGAGUCUGGAAUCUCGACUCUUCGACUGAGGGUUGGCGCUCGCCAGAAGCACGAGCCCCGACGCCCUGACUUGAGCCCAACGUUCCAUUGGGAACCAACGGCCCGAUCGCCGACGACAUAUCAGACACUUGAAAGGAUUGAUACAUCCACAACGACGGGGGUUACACUCCUUCUACAGUCAAACUCUCGGGCAAA
RNAcentral lists this long non-coding RNA (328 nucleotides) under Elaeis guineensis (African oil palm). RNAcentral describes it as "long non-coding RNA (EGUI_LNC033227)". The record is from RNAcentral. Lineage: Eukaryota; Viridiplantae; Streptophyta; Magnoliopsida; Arecales; Arecaceae.